Molecule: ribosomal RNA, 484 nt
Filed under: uncultured bacterium
Lineage: Bacteria
Description: partial 16S ribosomal RNA
Rfam family: Bacterial small subunit ribosomal RNA
Source: RNAcentral
AUUGAACGCUGGCGGCAGGCCUAACACAUGCAAGUCGAGCGGAUGAAGGGAGCUUGCUCCUGGAUUCAGCGGCGGACGGGUGAGUAAUGCCUAGGAAUCUGCCUGGUAGUGGGGGAUAACGUCCGGAAACGGGCGCUAAUACCGCAUACGUCCUGAGGGAGAAAGUGGGGGAUCUUCGGACCUCACGCUAUCAGAUGAGCCUAGGUCGGAUUAGCUAGUUGGUGGGGUAAAGGCCUACCAAGGCGACGAUCCGUAACUGGUCUGAGAGGAUGAUCAGCCACACUGGAACUGAGACACGGUCCAGGCUCCUACGGGAGGCAGCAGUGGGGAAUAUUGGACAAUGGGCGAAAGCCUGAUCCAGCCAUGCCGCGUGUGUGAAGAAGGUCUUCGGAUUGUAAAGCACUUUAAGUUGGGAGGAAGGGCAGUAAGUUAAUACCUUACUGUUUUGACGUUACCAACAGAAUAAGCACCGGCUAACUUCGUG